GAUGAAGAACGUAGUGAAAUGCGAUAAGUAAUGUGAAUUGCAGAAUUCAGUGAAUCAUCGAAUCUUUGAACGCACCUUGCGCCCUUUGGCUAUCCCGAAGGGCAUGCCUGUUUGAGUAUCAUGAACACCUCAACCCUCAUGGUUUGCCAUGACGGGCUUGGACUUUGGGGGUCUUGCUGGAUUGUAGUCAGCUCCCCUUAAACAAAUCAGCUUGCCAGUGUUUGGUGGCAUCACAGGUGUGAUAACUAUCUAUGCUUGUGGUUUUACAUCAGAUAACCUUCAGUGAUGGAGGUUCACUGGAGCUCAUAAAGGUGUCUCUCCUCUGUGAGGACAGCUCUUUGAAUGUUUGAUCUCAAAUCAGGCAGGACUACCCGCUGAACUUAAGCAUAUCAAUAAGCGGAGGA
This 404-nucleotide unclassified non-coding RNA is filed under the name soil metagenome. RNAcentral describes it as "partial contains 5.8S ribosomal RNA, internal transcribed spacer 2, and large subunit ribosomal RNA". The stretch from base 1 to 121 matches the Rfam family "5.8S ribosomal RNA", at positions 35 to 154 of the family's 154-position model. The record is from RNAcentral.